CGCGAGAAACCUUACCAGGGCUUAAAUGCAGAGCGAAUAGUUUGGAAACAGACUAGCCUUCGGGCGAUCUGCAAGGUGUUGCAUGGCUGUCG
Molecule: ribosomal RNA, 92 nt
Filed under: uncultured marine bacterium
Lineage: Bacteria
Description: partial small subunit ribosomal RNA
Source: RNAcentral